UCCAGACUCCUACGGGAGGCAGCAGUGGGGGAUAUUGCACAAUGGGGGGAACCCUGAUGCAGCGACGCCGCGUGGGUGAAGGAGCGUUUCGGCGCGUAAAGCCCUAUCGGCAGGGAAGAAGGAGGACGGUACCUGACUAAGAAGCCCCGGCUAACUACGUGCCAGCAGCCGCGGUAAUACGUAGGGGGCAAGCGUUAUCCGGAUUUACUGGGUGUAAAGGGGGCGCAGACGGCAGCGCAAGCUAGGAGUGAAAGCCCGGGGCCCAACCCCGGGACUGCUCUUGGAACUGCGCGGCUGGAGUGCAGGAGGGGCAGGCGGAAUUCCUGGUGUAGCGGUGAAAUGCGUAGAUAUCAGGAGGAACACCGGUGGCGAAGGCGGCCUGCUGGACUGCAACUGACGUUGAGGCCCGAAAGCGUGGGGAGCAAACAGGAUUAGAUACCCUCGUA
Molecule: ribosomal RNA, 446 nt
Filed under: uncultured bacterium
Lineage: Bacteria
Description: bacterial SSU rRNA
Rfam family: Bacterial small subunit ribosomal RNA
Source: RNAcentral